RNAcentral lists this ribosomal RNA (414 nucleotides) under uncultured bacterium. Its description in RNAcentral is "bacterial SSU rRNA". It matches the Rfam family "Bacterial small subunit ribosomal RNA", at positions 355 to 775 of the family's 1533-position model. The record is from RNAcentral.
UCGAGGAUCUUCGGCAAUGGGCGCAAGCCUGACCGAGCGACGCCGCGUGUGCGAUGAAGGCCUUCGGGUUGUAAAGCACUGUCGAGGGGGAGGAAGACCCGCAAGGGUUUGACCUAUCCCUGGAGGAAGCACGGGCUAAGUUCGUGCCAGCAGCCGCGGUAAGACGAACCGUGCAAACGUUGUUCGGAUUCACUGGGCUUAAAGGGCGCGUAGGCGGCUUGCCAAGUCAGGGGUGAAAUCUUUCGGCUUAACCGGAAAAGUGCUUCUGAUACUGGCGGGCUGGAGGGAGGUAGGGGCAGAUGGAACUUCCGGUGGAGCGGUGAAACGCGUAGAUAUCGGAAGGAACGCCGGUGGCGAAAGCGAUCUGCUGGACCUCUUCUGACGCUGAGGCGCGAAAGCCAGGGGAGCAAACGG